AAUCAACGCUGGCGGCGUGCCUCAGACAUGCAAGUCGAACGCGAAAGGCCCCUUCGGGGGCCGAGUAGAGUGGCGUCCGGGUGAGUAACACGUGGGUAAUCUACCUUCGGGUGGGGAAUAACGACCGGAAACGGUCGCUAAUACCGCAUAAUGCAGCGGCACCUAAUGGUGACAGUUGUUAAAGCGGGGGAGUCGCAAGACCUCGCGCCUGAAGAGGAGCCCGCGGCGGAUUAGCUAGUUGGCAGGGUAACGGCCUACCCAAAGGCGACGAUCCGUAGCCGGCCUGAGAGGGGCGGUCGGGCCACACUGGCACUGACACACGGGCCAGACUCCUACGGGAGGCAGCAGUGGGGAAGUAUUGGACAAUGGGCGCAAGCCUGAUCCAGCCAUGCCGCGUGGAGGG
This 403-nucleotide ribosomal RNA is filed under the name uncultured bacterium. RNAcentral describes it as "bacterial SSU rRNA". It matches the Rfam family "Bacterial small subunit ribosomal RNA", at positions 28 to 408 of the family's 1533-position model. The record is from RNAcentral.